ACGUCGCGGAGCGCCCGGACGCCGGGCUGCUCGGCGUAGCCGAACACCGACACGUUCAGGUCGCGGGCGCCGUUC
RNAcentral lists this transfer RNA (75 nucleotides) under Virgisporangium aurantiacum. RNAcentral describes it as "tRNA-Pro". Lineage: Bacteria; Bacillati; Actinomycetota; Actinomycetes; Micromonosporales; Micromonosporaceae. The record is from RNAcentral.